Molecule: ribosomal RNA, 447 nt
Filed under: uncultured bacterium
Lineage: Bacteria
Description: SSU rRNA
Rfam family: Bacterial small subunit ribosomal RNA
Source: RNAcentral
AGAGCGAACGCUGGCGGCAGGCCUAACACAUGCAAGUCGAGCGCGUGUAGCAAUACACGAGCGGCAGACGGGAGAGUAACACGUGGGAACGCGCCCUUCGGUUCGGAAUAACUCAGGGAAACUUGAGCUAAUACCGGAUACGCCCUUACGGGGAAAGAUUUAUUGCCGAAGGAACGGCCCGCGUCCGAUUAGCUAGUUGGUGAGGUAACGGCUCACCAAGGCGACGAUCGGUAGCUGGUCUGAGAGGAUGACCAGCCUCACUGGGACUGAGACACGGCCCAGACUCCUACGGGAGGCAGCAGUGGGGAAUAUUGACAAUGGGCGCAAGCCUGAUCCAGCCAUGCCGCGUGGAUGAUGAAGGCCUUAGGGUUGUAAAGUCCUUUUAACGGGGAAGAUAAUGACGGUACCCGUAGAAUAAGCCCCGGCUAACUUCGUGCCAGCAGCCGC